AGUGAACGCUGGCGGUAGGCCUAACACAUGCAAGUCGAACGGCAGCACAGGAGAGCUUGCUCUCUGGGUGGCGAGUGGCGGACGGGUGAGGAAUACACCGGAAUCUACUCUGUCGUGGGGGAUAACGUAGGGAAACUUACGCUAAUACCGCAUACGACCUACGGGUGAAAGCAGGGGACCUUCGGGCCUUGCGCGAUUGAAUGAGCCGAUGUCGGAUUAGCUAGUUGGCGGGGUAAAGGCCCACCAAGGCGACGAUCCGUAGCUGGUCUGGGAGGAUGAGCAGCCACACUGGAACUGAGACACGGUCCAGACUCCUACGGGAGGCAGCAGUGGGGAAUAUUGGACAAUGGGCGCAAGCCUGAUCCAGCCAUACCGCGUGGGUGAAGAAGGCCUUCGGGUUGUAAAGCCCUUUUGUUGGGAAAGAAAUCCAGCUGGCUAAUACCCGGUUGGGAUGACGGUACCCAAAGAAUAAGCACCGGCUAACUUCGUGCCAGCCGCCGCUGUAA
RNAcentral lists this ribosomal RNA (506 nucleotides) under uncultured bacterium. RNAcentral describes it as "partial 16S ribosomal RNA". It matches the Rfam family "Bacterial small subunit ribosomal RNA", at positions 29 to 523 of the family's 1533-position model. The record is from RNAcentral.